GCCGGAGUGGCGGAACGGAAGACGCGGCGGACUCAAAAUCCGCUGCCCCUCGCGGGCGUGGGGGUUCAAAUCCCUCCUCCGGCACCA
Molecule: transfer RNA, 87 nt
Filed under: bacterium
Lineage: Bacteria
Also listed under: 1 other name
Description: tRNA-Leu
Rfam family: tRNA
About the family: Transfer RNA (tRNA) molecules are approximately 80 nucleotides in length. Their secondary structure includes four short double-helical elements and three loops (D, anti-codon, and T loops). Further hydrogen bonds mediate the characteristic L-shaped molecular structure. tRNAs have two regions of fundamental functional importance: the anti-codon, which is responsible for specific mRNA codon recognition, and the 3' end, to which the tRNAs corresponding amino acid is attached (by aminoacyl-tRNA synthetases). tRNAs cope with the degeneracy of the genetic code in two manners: having more than one tRNA (with a specific anti-codon) for a particular amino acid; and 'wobble' base-pairing, i.e. permitting non-standard base-pairing at the 3rd anti-codon position.
Source: RNAcentral